Molecule: ribosomal RNA, 497 nt
Filed under: uncultured bacterium
Lineage: Bacteria
Description: partial 16S ribosomal RNA
Rfam family: Bacterial small subunit ribosomal RNA
Source: RNAcentral
GAUGAACGCUGGCGGCGUGCCUAAUACAUGCAAGUCGAGCGAACAGACGAGGAGCUUGCUCCUCUGACGUUAGCGGCGGACGGGUGAGUAACACGUGGAUAACCUACCUAUAAGACUGGUAUAACUUCGGGAAACCGGAGCUAAUACCGGAUGAUCUAUUGAACCGCGUGGGUCGAUAGUGAAAGUCGGUGUUGGUGUCACUUAUAGAUGGUUCCGCGCCGCAUUAGCUAGUUGGUAAGGUAACGGCUUACCAAGGCAACGAUGCGUAGCCGACCUGAGAGGGUGAUAGGCCACACUAGAACUGAGACACGGUCCAGACUCCUACGGGAGGCAGCAGUAGGGAAUCUUCCGCAAUGGGCGAAAGCUUGACGGAGCAACGCCGCGUGAGUGAUGAAGGUCUUCGGAUCGUAAAAAUCUGUUAUUAGGGAAGAACAAAUGUGUAAGUAACUAUGCACGUCUUGACGGUACCUAAUCAGAAAGCCACGGCUAACUACGUG